CACUUCGAGGCUCUUUUUCCUCCAUCUCUAAACUGGGGCCCUUGGGUGUCCCCAGGGGCAGGAGCAGGGCCAGCUGAGUGGAGUCUGAGUUGAGUGUGCCUGGCUGUGACUCUGCCGCCUGCCAGCCAGCACCCUCCGAAGAUAGAUCUGCUCUUGGGGGUGACCCACUAUCCACCUGCUUCCCCAGCUAGAGUGGAACGAAGGUAUUGGCAAAACUGCUGCGACCCAU
Leopardus geoffroyi (Geoffroy's cat) is the source of this 229-nucleotide long non-coding RNA. RefSeq lists it as uncharacterized. The transcript is spliced from 2 exons. The record is from RefSeq and is a predicted model, not a curated record. Lineage: Eukaryota; Metazoa; Chordata; Mammalia; Carnivora; Felidae.